GCCGGGAUGGUCUAAUCGGUUAAUGCGUCGCCCCGGACAGGCGAAGCUUGCGGUUCAAUCCCCGCUCCUGGCC
Molecule: non-coding RNA, 73 nt
Organism: Ixodes scapularis (black-legged tick)
Lineage: Eukaryota; Metazoa; Arthropoda; Arachnida; Ixodida; Ixodidae
Source: Rfam